Molecule: transfer RNA, 73 nt
Filed under: Pteropus alecto (black flying fox)
Lineage: Eukaryota; Metazoa; Chordata; Mammalia; Chiroptera; Pteropodidae
Rfam family: tRNA
About the family: Transfer RNA (tRNA) molecules are approximately 80 nucleotides in length.
Source: Rfam by way of RNAcentral
GGUUCCAUAGCGUAGAGGUUAGCACAUCUGCUUUACACACAGAAGGUCCUGGGUUUGCACCCCAGUGGAGCCA